UGCGAGAUAGUGUAAUAGGCAACACAAUAGGCUCAUGACCUGUAAAUUUAGGUUCGAUUCCUAAUCUUGCUC
This is a non-coding RNA of Tulasnella sp. JGI-2019a, 72 nucleotides long. The record is from the annotation of a GenBank genome assembly. NCBI's taxonomy places the organism in Eukaryota, Fungi, Basidiomycota, Agaricomycetes, Cantharellales, Tulasnellaceae.